This 24-nucleotide non-coding RNA is filed under the name Arabidopsis thaliana (thale cress). The record is from RNAcentral. Lineage: Eukaryota; Viridiplantae; Streptophyta; Magnoliopsida; Brassicales; Brassicaceae.
AACAAAACUAAUCUAUUUUCAGUU